Long non-coding RNA from Zea mays, 941 nucleotides. RefSeq lists it as uncharacterized. The annotation marks the transcript as partial. The transcript is spliced from 4 exons. The record is from RefSeq and is a predicted model, not a curated record. NCBI's taxonomy places the organism in Eukaryota, Viridiplantae, Streptophyta, Magnoliopsida, Poales, Poaceae.
CUCUCCCAAGCCGCCGCCACUCCUUCUCCCUCCCCUUUCUCUCUAUUCUCUCUCUACCGCCCACCUCUCUCCACCUCCUCUCCCCAAGCCGCGCCACCAGGAGUUCAGCAGCCGCCAGAAGCUGCCAUCCAGCGCCCCUGCCCCGCACCUGCGCACCCGCCGAACCGCCCGGCCACCCCGAGCCCCCACCCGACCUGGCCGCGUAGCCCCUACCGGUGUGCACCCGACGCGACCGCGCCUGGAACACCGCCCAGGCGCCCCGCCUCUGCAUCCGCCCGCCAGGAGCAGCGCCCCUGCGACCCACGCCGAAGACUCGACGCCUAGAGCCGCGCGCAAGUCCGACCCCGACCGGCUUGCCCUUUCCCCGCCCCAAGGGUACACGGUCGCCGCCACCUGCCCUAGGCCGCAGAAGGGAGCGUUUGCCGCCCGGCCCUCCGUCUCCCGUCGCCUCGCCCCCGCGCUCCGUCAGCGACCCCUCUCCGAAAUUGGCAGAGUCAUGGAGUUUACCUUACCUGGAUGCUUUCGGUGCUGCCAAGAACAUGCAUGUUUAUGAGGUCUCAUUUAUAGAUUCUUGGGUAUUAUCAUUGAGUCCUAUGAGACGAGCAUUUCUCAAGGCGAUGAGGAAAUCUAACAAUCAUUAAUUAAGAUACAUAUAUCUGGUUGAUGGCCUGGGAAGAAUAAGAUGGCAAGGCUCUGGAUCUGCAACACAAGAAGAACUGUCGUCACUAAUAGCGUGUACCUCCAUUUUGUUAGAUGAAAAAUGAGAUGGGGUGGCUGAUCUUUGCUAUUUUGUAACUUCUGGUACAAGAUAUUUUUGUGAAUGAUCAUCUCUGGAGCUUUUGUGAAUGAUCUAGCUAGCUAUCUGUAAAUGGUCUAAUUGUGAAUGAUAUUAUAAUUGUGAUGCUUUUGUGAAUAUAUAAUUGUGGUGCUUUUGUGUUUAU